Molecule: unclassified non-coding RNA, 168 nt
Filed under: Sarcodiotheca gaudichaudii
Lineage: Eukaryota; Rhodophyta; Florideophyceae; Gigartinales; Solieriaceae
Source: RNAcentral
AAGUGGGACUUUUUAAAAAGUCUUUUUACACAUUUUUCGCGAACAACUCUUUCCAUAUAUUUUUUAUUUCCUCGGGGCACUGUGUCUUUUUUGCGCAUUGUUCCAGGAAUGUUUUCAAACCCCAACCAACAAACUCAAAAUAAACAUAAACCAUGUUUAUCAUUUAUU